RNAcentral lists this ribosomal RNA (497 nucleotides) under uncultured bacterium. RNAcentral's name for it is "partial 16S ribosomal RNA". It matches the Rfam family "Bacterial small subunit ribosomal RNA", at positions 28 to 507 of the family's 1533-position model. The record is from RNAcentral.
GAUGAACGCUGGCGGCGUGCCUAAUACAUGCCAGUCGAGCGAACAGACGCGGCGCUUGCUCCUCUGACGUUAGCGGCGGACGGGUGAGUAACACGUGGAUAACCUACCUAUAAGACUGGGAUAACUUCGGGAAACCGGAGCUAAUACCGGAUAAUAUAUUGAACCGCAGGGUUCAAUAGUGAAAUACGGUUUUGCUGUCACUUAUAGAUGGAUCCGCGCCGCAUUAGCUAGUUGUUCAGGUAACGGCUUACCAAGGCGACGAUGCGUAGCUGACGUGAGAGGGUGAUCGGCGACACUGGAGCUGAGACACGGUCCAGACUCCUACGGGAGGCAGCAGUAGGGAAUCUGCCGCAAUGGGCGAAAGCCUGACGGAGUGACGCCGCGUGAGUGAUGAAGGCCUUCCGAUCGUAAAACUCUGUUAUUAGGGAAGAACAAAUGUGUAAGUAACUAUGCCGGUCGUGACGGUACCUAAUCAGAAAGCCACGGCUAACUACGUG